Molecule: ribosomal RNA, 253 nt
Filed under: uncultured bacterium
Lineage: Bacteria
Description: partial 16S ribosomal RNA
Rfam family: Bacterial small subunit ribosomal RNA
Source: RNAcentral
UACGUAGGGGGCAAGCGUUGUCCGGAAUCAUUGGGCGUAAAGCGCGUGUAGGCGGUCCGGUAAGUCGGCUGUGAAAGUCCAGGGCUCAACCCUGGGAUGCCGGUCGAUACUGCCGUACUAGAGUUCGGAAGAGGCGAGUGGAAUUCCCGGUGUAGCGGUGAAAUGCGCAGAUAUCGGGAGGAACACCAAUGGCGAAGGCAGCUCGCUGGGACGUUACUGACGCUGAGACGCGAAAGCGUGGGGAGCAAACAGG